UAACGACAGAGGAGUUUGACAGCACAGCAUGGACUAAACCUGAUGCGCGUGAACAGCAGCUCACCGCUUCGAUCGAGUGCAUGCUACAUUUGCAUAUUGCACUUCAUGUCUUUUUUUACUACAAGUGCCUAAAUCAAGGCAUUGGGUGAUAUGAAGGUAUUAUCAGUCAUAAAAUGCGCACAGGAUAUGCAGUUUCCAGUAGAAGUGAACCAAUGCAGACAAGUCUCCGUUUGAUGAACUUGAUUCACCCUGGAGUCUCAGUGUCAUCUUGAAGCUGGACGAUGCGCGCGGAACUUUCCAGAUAGAUCAAUGUUAUGAAUUUACAUUAUGCCUUCACUACAUCAUGGCGCUAUUUUUAUUGGAGUAUUUUUAAUAGUCACCGGUGGCUCCACCGCUUUCCUAACCUCUAAUCAAAGUCGACUGCAGCCGUUCAGCAUGUGCUGUGUGGUGCUCGGGGCGGUGAUGCUCAUAUUAGGGCUCUUCUGGGCGAUGAACGGCAAGAGAAACCCGGUGCCUUAUAAUGAAGAGUACAGCCACGACUACAGUCAAGUCCUGUUCACCCCACCGCCCGGAAACCACUUCCCCGAAUCCCAGUCCGUCUUUCUGCACGGGACUUUGCAAAGGCGAGAUGUAUGUGGUGAAGAUCUGGACUAUCCCCCGAUGGAGCCAACCUGUUUUAGCCCUACCACUCAGGGUCGGCCGCCUCACUGGGACAUGGAACCUCCCCCGCCUUAUGAGGUGGCCAUCAAAACCACUAGGAGCUCCACGCACCUGAGACGCAGCUACUCAGACACACAGCUGCUAACUGAACCUCUGUUUGGACGCUCACGGGAGAUCAGUUUCGAAGUGUGACAUCUGAGCCACAUUCAUCUCUGAAUACCCAACCUAACAAGUGUUGAUGAAGCUUUAAAACAGGCAUUGACAAUCCACAGCUCCUCGAGGGGGUGUUGUGUGCCUCUUGAGAUGGUUCUCAUCUUUACCAUGUGUUUACAGCCAUAUUCAGAAAGAAAUGUAGAAAUACUAUGCUUUUAAUGUAUUAUAAAUAUAAAAUCUAUACAUAAGCUAUUGGAAAUAAGUGGUUAAUAUCUCAUUAAACAUAAUGCAAUGCAAAAAAAAAAGAGGAGGCUUUAAUUUUCAGUCAUCAGUCAUCUCAAUAACUGAUCACUCUAAUUCUGUAUAUUCUAGUAUACUUGAAUGUGAGAAACUUAGCUUCUGCAUAUGGGAGCGUAUUUAGUUCUGUCAAAGCUAGUGAAGCACAAAGACG
Long non-coding RNA from Cyprinus carpio carpio, 1264 nucleotides. NCBI's taxonomy places the organism in Eukaryota, Metazoa, Chordata, Actinopteri, Cypriniformes, Cyprinidae. The record is from Ensembl.